GGUGUCCCGGCCGCCGGAUGCGCGGUAUUUUUAGCAGAAAACAGCGUCUGAAGCCACGGUUCUCUUGGUAUUGCGACGUGUGCCGAGCGACCAGACGUGCCCUCUGCGUGCUGAGCUGCAGCGUGGGACGUACCGUAUUUGCAAAACAGAGCUUGGCGCGUCUGCAUCACUCACUGCUGUGGAAAGAGUCGUCAGGAUGAUGUAUUGAAGCACGGCCAUCUCCAUUAUGGCUUGCAUCAGACUGGAGCAUCUUGACCCAGAGAAAGAGAAUCAGGUGGUAAAGAAAGGACGGCUCCUUUCGUGGGGGAUUUGAGGACUCGAAGGUGAUUCUGUUGCGGGCGCUGUGUUACCUGCGCAUCCCCGACCCUUGGGCACCGGGAUCCCUCCGUGGUCUCGCAGGGCACCCAGGAGUUCUGCUCUCUGUGGAGGUAAACACGCACCAUUAGGAGCCCCAGCAGAGGUCUUCAGAGCAUCAGUGCCGCCGUGCUGAAGGGUCUCUGCACGGGAAUGUGUAAAGGGAGCCUUGUCUCAGAAGUGGUCCCUGCUUUUGUCAAGGUUCCGCGUUCUGCUUCGUUUCAAAGCCAGGAGGAGGAGGGAUGCUGGCUGUGUGCUGGGCGUGCCCCGGGGUCUCCCCGACGGACAGCGCCGCUCGGCGUGCACCUGGAUCCCGCUGCACGGAGCCGGCUGCUGCUGCUGAGGCUGCCCUCGGGUGUCAGAGCGGGAGGGGACCGAUGUCCCAAGCAUUACACGUGCUAUCAUUCCGUAGUGUAAGUCCUAAGUAAACUCAGAGAGGAGAAAUAUGAAGACAAUCCAAAAUCUGAAGACUGUGUGUUAAGUGGUUGUUUUUCAGGUGUUUUCUAGGCUGAAAGGAGGACAGCCGCUGCUCCCAGAUUGCAGCUGGAUCCCUGAAAGAAAGCAAAAGCACGGGCUGUGCUCAGAGCAAUCCGGAAUGCUCGGAAGUGAACUAAGGCGACGUGGAGCACCGCUAUGGAGAGUGGCCCCGCGGGACCCCGUGGGACACAGCCCGGCGGCAAUGACAACAUCUGCCCCUGGUCCCAUACUCAUCCUUAAAUGUAAAUUAAGAGUCCAGAAGCGCCCGCUCAAAUAUGAAAAUGUUGAGCAGUCGCUUCAUUCGGCAAGGCAGCAUUCGCCACCUAGAGAGCCACGCGAGAAAUGCAGGGAAACGCGUGAGCGCGGACACGGGCAGGUGCAACCGGCACGGCCCCGGCACCGCCACCGCCUGGGGACGAGGGGCGGCCGUGGGCAACGCUUCUGCUCUGCUGGCAAGGCCGGUCAUGUACCACUGGAAGAGAACGGGGGGGCACCAGCGAGUCCUGCCGAGGACAGGGUGCUGUCCCGUCGCCUGUCGAUGCCCACGCAGCAGAGCAGGUGCACGCAGAGCGGUGCUUGGAACCCACCGGGUGGCUGAGCUGAUGCUGCUUGUUCCUGAAGAAGCAAUGGGCGUACCUGGCCUUGGUUUUAAUCCUGUCGGUGAGAAAUUCCUUACCUCUCAUGGAGCAGAGUGAUAAAGAUAAUGAUGCUCUGUCUCUUGAGGUCUGGGAGCAAGGCGUGGGCAUCAGCCCUGGGCAGCCCAUGGUGGGGGAACCUGGGGGGCAGCACGGGGGGGCAGGGGCCGUGCCACCGCAACUGAGCGAGGUUCAGCUCGGGCUGUGAAGAACGUGAUGCUGGAGCUGUUUGCUCAAUAAUCUCCACUUGCUGGUAGCUGGUUUUAUCCUGAUGCUUCUCUUUCAUUCUCGUCUAUCCCUGUCCUUUUCCUACGAUCUUGAAAAGCAGAUUAACCAUCGCCGAAAUGCCGGGUCCAGAAAUGAAAACAAGAAAUGUUUAUUUCUACAGUGAUAGCACGUGUCCUGACGGCAGACUCAGCCCAGCCACAACUACAGCGCAUGCAGCAGUAAUUUACUCAAUCAUUCUGCCUCAUUUUCUUGUCCUGAGUUGCCAGCAUUCACGAUUCUCUUCAUCACAAUGUAAUUUUUGCAGACAAUUCUUGAUCUGAAGUUCAUUUGUAGUUCAUCUUCAGAAUUAAUUUCUUUUUGUCGGACACAUUAAUGGUGUAUUACUUGUAAUUCUUCUAAUGAGGCUUCCAGCAUGAACACUUGCAUUUGCAAAUUCAAAAUAGGUUUUAGGAAAAUGCUCCCCACCUGUUUAAAAUUGAUUUCCAAAAAUGUCCCAGUGAAUUGCUAAAUAUUCAUGAGGAAUGGAUAUAAAAUACCUCUGAGCAAACAGAGAUGCCAUCAGCAGCAUGGUGGGGAGCCGCUUCAGGCAGCAGGUGUGGGGAGCUGGGGGCUGAGGGCCUGGCCGCUGCUGUCCUGCCCAGGAGCCCCAUCUCAGCCCACUGCAGCCCAGUAGCGUGAUUCUUCUGGUCUUUCCUCAACUGGUGCUAUAUGUAAUUCCUCCAUUUUUAUUACAAAGCGGUCACAGUUAGUUGGAUCGGAUGUGUAAGAGCUCAAGAUUGCGACUCUUUGGUUCACCUCGUGUGGUCUUUUCUCUGUUUCUGGUUUCAGUUCAGUGACAUAACAAGCAGAAGGAAGGCUGCCUAUAAACCUGCUUUACUAGGACACAAAUAAAUACUGAUUCCUUUGUUCUCUGGAUAAAAGGGAAGUGUACAGGCUGUGAAAGAUGCCGGCUGGGUCUAGGUCUUUCUUCUUGCUCCUGUCUCACUGCCCAGCCCCACGGAUGGGAGUGGGGAGGUACAGGCAGUGGCUGGGAGCUCCCUGUGCACCUGUAGCUGGCCCUGCUGCCGGGGGCUCCCAGCUUCCCUGCCGGUUUUGCAUCCAUCCACUUUUGCACAACUUAAGAUUUCAUGGUUUCUGGAAUACUGCUUCUUUUUGUGGAUUUCCUUUUCUUGCUCUGUGACUUGCAUGACGUGCCGUAAAGCUCUGCCAUCAGCAACUCCUGACGAGCCUGCAGAGUUCCCUGUUUGACAAACUGUUCCCAAGUGCACCUGGUGAGUACUCUUCCCUUCCUUAGUUUUCCCAAUAACAUGCUAACUCUUGGCAGACUCAUUUUUAAAUGACUUUAAUCUUUGUCUAUAAUUUCUCAUAAAAAUAUUCUGACAUUGAUUUUUAAGCCAUGCUGCCAGAGAUGUGGACUCCCCUGUAUUUAAUGAAUUGUGAGGUAAUGAAUGUCACUACUUCUCUAUUGAAUCUUCUUUCUUGAUUUGAGUUCAAAAUUAGAACGAAUAAUCCCUCAGUCAAGAACACGGAGAUACUAGACAAUAACAUUUUUGUGGCUGCAUUGACAGCAAAAUUGUUUGCUGCUCAGUAGGGAUGUCAGCAGCAGAACUGGGGUUACUUUUGUCAGAGCCUCCACCAAAUUUCUCUCACCUAUGUGCCUGCCUGAGAAUAACGGCCUUAUUUACAACACAUGGCCCACAACACCACCUCCUGUGGGCGCAGUGCCCCUGGAGACCAAAGGCAAAGUUCUCAUUAAGACCCGAUCCAACGUCCUGGCCCCAGGGAACGAGGGGUUACCGGCUGCAUCCACACCUCCCCAAGAGCCGCCCAGCAUGCGGUCAUCAACACAGCAGUGUCUUUGGCUCUUGUAUGGGAACUGCUGAGUCACGGC
Molecule: long non-coding RNA, 3585 nt
Organism: Numida meleagris (helmeted guineafowl)
Lineage: Eukaryota; Metazoa; Chordata; Aves; Galliformes; Numididae
Exons: 3
Source: RefSeq, a predicted model, not a curated record